RNAcentral lists this ribosomal RNA (460 nucleotides) under uncultured bacterium. Its description in RNAcentral is "partial 16S ribosomal RNA". It matches the Rfam family "Bacterial small subunit ribosomal RNA", at positions 338 to 795 of the family's 1533-position model. The record is from RNAcentral.
CCUAUGGGAGGCAGCAGUGAGGAAUAUUGGUCAAUGGACGAGAGUCUGAACCAGCCAAGUAGCGUGAAGGAUGACUGCCCUAUGGGUUGUAAACUUCUUUUAUAUGGGAAUAAAAUGUUCCACGUGUGGGAUUUUGUAUGUACCCUAUGAAUAAGGAUCGGCUAACUCCGUGCCAGCAGCCGCGGUAAUACGGAGGAUCCGAGCGUUAUCCGGAUUUAUUGGGUUUAAAGGGUGCGUAGGCGGAUUGUUAAGUCCGGUGUGAAAGUUUGCGGCUCAACCGUAACAUUGCAGUUGAAACUGGCAGUCUUGAGUGCGCGAGAGGUAUGCGGAAUUCGUGGUGUAGCGGUGAAAUGCAUAGAUAUCACGAAGAACUCCGAUUGCGAAGGCAGCUCACUGGAGUGCAACUGACGCUGAGGCUCGAAAGUGUGGGUAUCGAACAGGAUUAGAUACCCCAGUAGUC